GGGCUGCUCUCGCCGCUCGGGGACCCCCCCAGGGCGCGCUGCAGCAGCCGCCGCACGGUGACACCGGUGACACUUGGGGACAGCCAGCCCCGGGCGGGGGGCGACGGGGGGGGCAGCGCCGUGUACUUGACUCGUCUGGGGGGCGAGGGGGGGACACGGGGUGACCUCAGCCCCCUCGGGGUGUCCCCAGUGUUCCCAAAUCCAUGGGGGUGUCCCCGAUGUCCCCAAACCCAUCGGGGUGACCUCAGCCCCAUCGGGGUGUCCCCAGUGUCCCCAAACCCACGGGGGUGACCUCAGCCCUAUCGGGGUGUCCCCAGUGUCCCCAAAUCCAUGGGGGUGUCCCCGAUGUCCCCAAACACCGGGAGACUGUCCCCGAUGUCCCCAAACCCAUCGGGGUGUCCCUGAUGUCCCCAAACCCAUCGGGGUCACCUCAGCCCCAUGGGGGUGUCCCCAGUGUCCCCAAACUCAUGGGGGUGUCCCCGAUGUCCCCAAACCCAUCGGGGUGACCUCAGCCCCAUCGGGGUGUCCCCAGUGUCCCCAAACCCACCGGGGGUGUCCCCGAUGUCCCCAAACCCACCGGGGGUGUCCCCAAUGUCCCCAAACCCAUCGGGGUGUCCCCGAUGUCCCCAAACACCGGGAGAGUGUCCCCGAUGUCCCCAAACCCAUGGGGUCACCUCAGUCCCAUAGGGAGUGUCCCCGAUGUCCCCAAACACGGGGAGAGUGUCCCCGAUGUCCCCAAACCCACGGGGUCACCUCAGCCCCAUGGGGGUGUCCCCAAUGUCCCCAAACACCGGGAGAGUGUCCCCGAUGUCCCCAAACCCGCCAGGGGUGUCUCCAACCCCACAAUGUCAUCCCCCGCCCCAUAGGGAGUGUCCCCAGUGUCCCCUCACCCCUCCCGUGUGUCCCCUCCCGUGGUGUCCCCGCGGUGUCCCCGCUGUCCCCUGACCCCUCCCGCGGUGUCCCCGCGGUGUCCCCGCGGUGUCCCCGCUGUCCCCUCACCUGUAGGUGAACGCAGCCGUGCCCAGGGCGGCCGCCACCAGCACGAGCCCCACGAACAGC
This 1059-nucleotide long non-coding RNA is filed under the name Parus major (Great Tit). RNAcentral's name for it is "lncRNA (ENSPMJG00000002422.1)". Lineage: Eukaryota; Metazoa; Chordata; Aves; Passeriformes; Paridae. The record is from RNAcentral.